RNAcentral lists this ribosomal RNA (484 nucleotides) under uncultured bacterium. RNAcentral describes it as "partial 16S ribosomal RNA". It matches the Rfam family "Bacterial small subunit ribosomal RNA", at positions 30 to 507 of the family's 1533-position model. The record is from RNAcentral.
AUUGAACGCUGGCGGCAGGCCUAACACAUGCAAGUCGAGCGGAUGAAGGGAGCUUGCUCCUGGAUUCAGCGGCGGACGGGUGAGUAAUGCCUAGGAAUCUGCCUGGUAGUGGGGGAUAACGUCCGGAAACGGGCGCUAAUACCGCAUACGUCCUGAGGGAGAAAGUGGGGGAUCUUCGGACCUCACGCUAUCAGAUGAGCCUAGGUCGGAUUAGCUAGUUGGUGGGGUAAAGGCCUACCAAGGCGACGAUCCGUAACUGGUCUGAGAGGAUGAUCAGUCAAAAUUGAACUGAGAAACGGGUCCGACUCCUACGGGGAGCAGGAGGUGGGAAUAUUUGACAAAUGGCGGAAGCCUGAUUCAGCCAUGCCGGGGGGUGUGAGAAGGGUCUCGGAUUGGAAAGCCCCUUAAGUUUGGAGGAAGGGCAGUAAGGUAAUAACUUGCUGGUUUGACGUUACCAACAGAAUAAGCACCGGCUAACUUCGUG